UUGGGUAAAAUCAACGUAGGACCUACACUUUGAAAAUGAAACCCACAUGAGGUGGUGGGACAUGCAUUGAUUUUAUAA
Molecule: microRNA precursor, 78 nt
Filed under: Medicago truncatula (barrel medic)
Lineage: Eukaryota; Viridiplantae; Streptophyta; Magnoliopsida; Fabales; Fabaceae
Description: MIR5269 microRNA precursor family
Rfam family: MIR5269 microRNA precursor family
Source: Rfam by way of RNAcentral